GGGGUCGGGCCGAGCUGCGACCAGACCCGGCCCGGCUGCGAGCUCGAGCUCCCCAGCGCGCGUGAGGGCAGGCACCCGUCCUAACGGUUGUUUCAGUUACAGUAGUACUAGGAGGCCCCAGUUAUUCUAGAAAAUGGAAAGGAGAAAAGAAGCAACUGAAGACUCCAACUGAGGCUCCAACCUGCAGCAUUGCCGACUUUGCCAGAUCCCUUCUAAAGAUUCAUUCAGCAUUCUUUGGAGCAUCAAGUCUUGGCCAGCCCUGGAGAAGAACUUCUUAGUCAGCUGGGAAACAAAGGCUGCCUUCAGUGAACUAAGACCCAAAUUGUGGGCCUGCAUCCUGCAACCUGAAAGACACAACUGUUACACUUCCAGGAGCCUCCGAAGUCAGCGAGGAGGUAUAACCAUCUUGUCAGGUGUUCCCCAGAAGAACCAUUAUUGAGCUGGAAGCACAUUUGUCAGAGUGAAGUGACUACUGAGUCUGUAAAAGUUACUGUGGUCGAAGUUGCCUAGGACGGUGGCUGCUGGGUGAACUGGGGGAUCAGAGUUCCCCAGUGACCCAUUAACAACAGAUUUUUAUGGAAAAGAAGCAUGGUUAAACUGGUGAAAAUAACUGUGCACAAGUCAUAAUAGCUCUCCAUUUGCAGAAGAGCUUGGGAGACUUGGCCUGGCAGGCGACCUGCACUCUGCACACCUGGCUAGCCAUAAGACACCCAGUUUGUGGAGGAAAGACCUAUGAUGUCUGCUGAGACCAGCCAUAGUCCUGGGGGAACAAUCUCUCCAUCAUUCAGCAGACAAUGUUGGAGUGCCUGCUGUUUGGCACAGGGUUGUAUUAGGUUACUAGAGAGUCUUAUUCAAUAGGGUUGAAAAAUGGGCAAUUUGCAAAAACUUUAUUACUCUCAAAACAGAGAAUGACUUGGUGAAAUUUAAUAUGGCUCAGAGAGACUGAAAGCAGCUACAGUGGAGCAGGCUCUCAUGAUUAUGGCUGAGGUGAAGGCUGAGUGGCCUUCAAUGGAGAAAGAGACAAGAGCAUGGCAAGGACAGAAAGGACAAGAUGCCCAUGUCAGCCUGCACUGGAUGCACCCAGGGAUGUUCCCCCCUCCUUUUGCUGAGGUGGCCUGAGGAAGGUGAGAUUUUUCAACAGCACAUCAACUCAUGUUGAAUGCAUUGAGUGAGCAGUUGGCAUUCCUACCCUGCUCUGUAUCCACUCCACAUGUCAACUGUUUCUUCUUCUGGGCUGUAACAGGGUCAGCACCCACCUCUCAUGCAUGCCCCUCUUUUCUCUGUCCAAUAGUGCCAGCAAACAGUUCUUUUCACUGGGGCAUCACCCACCUCUCGUGGGUGGCCCCCUUUCUCUGAAAUAUGAGCCUGCUUUUAUUUUUUGGUCUUACAUCAGGGUGGAACCUGCCUCCCGCAAGCACCCCCUGACUGGUGGUCCUCUCGGAUGGUCUUUGGCAGGUCAGCCCUCCAGCUGAGCCGCACAUGCUGUCCCCCCUUCCAGAGUAUACAGUCAAAGCUCUUUUUCAGCCCUUGUAUGGGGUCAUAGUUCUAAGGCUUCUUCCCUGAGGCACUGCCUUCUUCAAACAUCCAGCCAGGGCCCAUCUCAGUACCCUCAGCUGGUGUCCUUUUCAGCAGCCCUCCCUAGGCUCAGUCUGCCACCAGACCAGCAGGCCCUAUCUUGGUACUCUCGCCUGGUCUGGCAGAUCCUGGGCUCAGCCUGCCCAAACUGACCUUUUCAUGGUCCUGCUGCUACUCUAUCCAGCCAGCUAGGCACAUGGUCUUUGGCGACCUCCGCUGGGCUCAGUUCUAUCUGGUGAACUCUCUGCAGUGAGCUAUCCGCAGUCCUGCUGUUCGUCUGGCCAGCCAGACACCCAGUCCUCCCUCAUCAAGCUUCACACAGCAACUGCACUUCUCUGCUCUGCUGCUUGUCUUAUAUAGGGCCCUUCUGGUCCCUCAUUGGUCACUCCAGCAGCCCCUCUGAUUGGCCACUCUUCUGCAGCCACUCUAGGCUGCCUGAAGGACUUCUCGCUGCUCUAUUCUGGGGCAGGGUGAUGGAGAAUCACAAAGUCUCCAGCAAGGGGCCUCCAGACCUAGUCCACCCUGCCACAUGUGGCUUGACUUUUAUGGUAACUCUGGGAAGAGUAAUGGAACAGAAACCCAGCUCAAGCUCUCUCCCUAAACCUAGAUCCCCAAGCUUGGCUGUCUCCAGUUUCCUGAAGGACCUCCCUGUCUCUGAUCCUUGUUCCAUCUGAUCCAGGGCCACAGGAACUAAGCAUUUGUACUCACAGUUCCAACUCCUGCGAACAGGGUUGGUCAGCAGAUGAGCCAGGCUUCCCUGUGUGGGGCUGUGGGUCCUGCUUCCCUGUCACACCAUAUAAGAGAAAUAUUCUAGAACUUAACUUGUGGUGUAGAGUGUGCAAGGGGACUGGAUGCGAAGGGCUGUGCUGGUAACCGUGUGUGUGUGUUGUGGUGCUCCACCCUGUGGAAGGCUCCUGGCUGGUCACCUUGGAGCAAUGUGCACUGACAUUAAUUGCUGAUAAUUCACCAAGGACACAAGAUAAUGAGCAGGAAAAUAACAGAGAUUCACGCCUCUGUGCAGUAGGGCCUCCUGCUGUGAGCCUGAGCUGCCCCAUCUCCACAGCCCUUUGCCUGCUCUGACCAGGGCCAUGCUGCCACUGCAUGCGCUGUUGGUACUCCAUAGAUAAUAAAUAGCCUGGAUAAACAGCAUCCCUCACUGGCCGGCUGCAGGAGCAGCUGGAACCCCAUUGCCUGGCAUCCUCAGGGCUCCAGCAAAACCUGAACUGCACUCUCACCAGACAGACAGCAGGAUCAACCCAUCCACCUCAUCAGGGAACCUCAGCCGCAGAGUUCUUCCUGGGAUCCUGCAGCCACCUGAUUCUGCUGUUAUCAUGGCCCUGGCAUUGGGGAAUGGUGGAGGCAGUUUUUCACUUAAAUUAAAGCCCAGCAGCAUCCCAGACACCUGGCAUUUCCUGAGGGUCGGGGUAUCUCUGUUCGUCUUAUGUGCAAUGGGAAAAAUGAAUGUGUGAAAACGGGGCACGUUGUUUAGUCCACUAAAAGCAAUGCAGGGUGCUGGAGUCUUGACCUGUGUUAGACUGAACUGUUCCUUAAUCCACCCUCCCAAUCACUGUGGAGUCCUGAUUGUCAAUCCCAAAGUGGUUGGUGUUACAAACAGCAGCAUGUGCAUGGGAUAAUUUAAUUUGCAUGCAUUUUUCCAGGUCAGCCCAGAGCAGCUUGGAAAUGUGCUCACUUAAGAGGCAAAUGUAGCACAGCUGGCUAUAAAUUACAGUAACAUAUUGUGGGAGACCUAGCAAUGAGGUGCAUGUUGUUGAAGAGUGUCAUAGAUAGUAACCUAUUAAGCAAACUAUAAUUAUAAAUGUACCAUUGAAGACUUCACCGUUAUAAUUAACUCUGGCUCAGAACAUUAUCUCCAAGCAGAGUCAUUGUGAUUGAUUACGUUGGUUAGUGUCUAGGCUGUGAGAGGCAGGGUAACUGUUGAAAUAGAGAAGGAAGUAGAUUUUUUGUACUUGUCUCUAACGCUAAAAGAAUCUACCAGUUUGGCAAGCUCCUGGGUAGGACAGUUCUCCCGCAGGUCUGUGCCAGCUGCCAUCCCCAAAACGUCCAGAUAAUGACGUUCAGUAAGAAAAACUGGGGUCUUUACAAUAUCCUGGGAGAUGUGUUAUUGUCCAUGUGCUCAAAUAGUUCAAACACUGCUUUGUUAUAAAUGUGAGAUGAGAGCAGUUUGCUCAGACAACAGUUUGGAAUUUAAAGCCAUACACUCUGAUACACCCAAAUUUCAGAGCAUUCCCAGCAAAUUUUAAAAGCUUCUUGACUAACUGAGAAAGCAGAGUGCUAGAGAUCAGAAUGCAGGAUUGGGUGCCAGAUGCUCUCAGCUUUCAAUUCCACCUUUGCCAUUGAGUCCUUGAUUGUUGUGGGCGAGUCACUUAGGGUGGCGUUUUCAAACGUGGGAGCCUUACUAUACAACUGACCUGAUUUUCAAAGAUGCUGAGGCUUUACUCACAGCUCCCACUGGUUUCAGUGGGAGUUGCACAUGUUGAGCCCAACCAGCUCAGAACCACUGGGCAAGAAGGAAGCUCACAGGAGCCUAACCCAGCUCACUGCGGAGCUGACAUUAAUGCAGUAUGAGCAAAUGAUAAAUGCUCUAUUCGCUGAGUAUGGUGCCCUGAUGUAUUAAACAUGCAGAGAAGAAGGGAAGCAGCGUUUCAGGGGGACAGAGCAAACCCGGACCCCGGAGAGAAGGUGGAAUAUUGACCCUGUUAGAUUGUGGCUUAGGAAUUAUGGUGAAGAUCAGGGGUCAGCAACCUUUCAGAAGUGGUGUGCCGAGUCUUCAUUUAUUCACUCUAAUUUAAGGUUUCGCUUGCCAG
Molecule: long non-coding RNA, 4400 nt
Organism: Chrysemys picta bellii (western painted turtle)
Lineage: Eukaryota; Metazoa; Chordata; Testudines; Emydidae
Source: RefSeq, a predicted model, not a curated record